GCAGACACAUUCCAGCCAAUCAGCAGCAGACCCUCCCUCCCUCCCAGACCCUCCCACCUCCUGGACAGCAUCCAUUGUGAAGCUGCAUUCUUAGUGAGCUGUCCAGGAGGUGGGAGGGUCUGGGAGGGAGGGUCUGCUGCUGAUUGGCUGGAAUGUGUCU
This is a non-coding RNA of Pelobates cultripes (western spadefoot toad), 160 nucleotides long. The record is from the annotation of a GenBank genome assembly. NCBI's taxonomy places the organism in Eukaryota, Metazoa, Chordata, Amphibia, Anura, Pelobatidae.